This 503-nucleotide ribosomal RNA is filed under the name uncultured bacterium. RNAcentral describes it as "bacterial SSU rRNA". It matches the Rfam family "Bacterial small subunit ribosomal RNA", at positions 17 to 518 of the family's 1533-position model. The record is from RNAcentral.
UUAUGGCUCAGGAUGAACGCUGGCGGCGUGCCUAACACAUGCAAGUCGAACGGAAACUAGACGCUUCGGAGACUCGGUCAAUGUUGUUUAGUCUUAGUGGCGGACGGGUGAGUAACGCGUGGAUAACCUGCCGUAUACAGGGGGAUAACAGUUAGAAAUGACUGCUAAUACCGCAUAAGCGCACGGGAUCGCAUGUUCCUGUGUGAAAAACUCCGGUGGUAUACGAUGGAUCCGCGUCUGAUUAGCUAGUUGGCGGGGUAACAGCCCACCAAGGCGACGAUCAGUAGCCGGCCUGAGAGGGUGAACGGCCACAUUGGGACUGAGACACGGCCCAAACUCCUACGGGAGGCAGCAGUGGGGGAUAUUGCACAAUGGGGGAAACCCUGAUGCAGCGAACCGCCGCGUGAGUGAAGAAGUAUUUCGGUAUGUAAAGCUCUAUCAGCAGGGAAGAUAAUGACGGUACCUGACUAAGAAGCACCGGCUAAAUACGUGCCAGCAGCUGC